UACGUAGGGACCGAGCGUUGUCCGGAAUCAUUGGGCGUAAAGAGCGUGUAGGCGGCUAUUUAAGUCCUGCGUGAAAUCCUGCGGCUCAACCGCAGACGGUCGUGGGAAACUGGAUGGCUAGAGUGCGGGAGAGGAGAGUGGAAUCCCCGGUGUAGCGGUGAAAUGCGCAGAUAUCGGGAAGAACACCCGUGGCGAAGGCGGCUCUCUGGAACGCAACUGACGCUGAGACGCGAAAGCGUGGGGAGCAAACAGG
RNAcentral lists this ribosomal RNA (253 nucleotides) under uncultured bacterium. RNAcentral's name for it is "partial 16S ribosomal RNA". It matches the Rfam family "Bacterial small subunit ribosomal RNA", at positions 524 to 776 of the family's 1533-position model. The record is from RNAcentral.